Molecule: ribosomal RNA, 460 nt
Filed under: uncultured bacterium
Lineage: Bacteria
Description: partial 16S ribosomal RNA
Rfam family: Bacterial small subunit ribosomal RNA
Source: RNAcentral
CCUACGGGGGACAGCAGUGAGGAAUAUUGGUCAAUGGGCGGAAGUCUGAACCAGCCAAGUAGCGUGCAGGAUGACGGCCCUACGGGUUGUAAACUGCUUUUAUACGGGAAUAACGCGCCUUACGUGUAGGGCUUUGCAUGUACCGUAUGAAUAAGGACCGGCUAAUUCCGUGCCAGCAGCCGCGGUAAUACGGAAGGUCCGGGCGUUAUCCGGAUUUAUUGGGUUUAAAGGGAGCGCAGGCCGCAUGUCAAGCGUGCUGUGAAAUGUCCGGGCUCAACCCGGGCCUUGCAGCGCGAACUGGCGGGCUUGAGUCCGCGGAAAGCAGGCGGAAUUCGUCGUGUAGCGGUGAAAUGCUUAGAUAUGACGAAGAACCCCGAUUGCGAAGGCAGCUUGCUGCAGCGGAACUGACGCUGAUGCUCGAAGGCGCGGGUAUCGAACAGGAUUAGAUACCCUGGUAGUC